AUCGAACGCUGGCGGCAUGCCUUACACAUGCAAGUCGAACGGCAGCACGGGAGCAAUCCUGGUGGCGAGUGGCGAACGGGUGAGUAAAGUAUCGGAACGUGCCCAGUCGUGGGGGAUAACGUAGCGAAAGUUACGCUAAUACCGCAUACGAUCUAUGGAUGAAAGCGGGGGAUCGCAAGACCUCGCGCGAUUGGAGCGGCCGAUAUCAGAUUAGGUAGUUGGUGGGGUAAAGGCUCACCAAGCGGACGAUCUGUAGCUGGUCUGAGAGGACGACCAGCCACACUGGGACUGAGAAACGGCCCAGACUCCUACGGGAGGCAGCAGUGGGGAAUUUUGGACAAUGGGCGCAAGCCUGAUCAGCCAUGCCGCGUGCAGGAUGAAGGCCUUCGGGUUGUAAACUGCUUUUGUACGGAACGAAAAGGUUUGGCUUAAUACGUUGAACUCAUGACGGUACCGUAAGAAUAAGCACCGGCUAACUACGUGCCAGCAGCCGCCGUAA
RNAcentral lists this ribosomal RNA (499 nucleotides) under uncultured bacterium. RNAcentral describes it as "partial 16S ribosomal RNA". It matches the Rfam family "Bacterial small subunit ribosomal RNA", at positions 30 to 523 of the family's 1533-position model. The record is from RNAcentral.